GUGGAUCAGUGGCGAACGGGUGAGUAACACGUGAGCAACCUGCCCUCCACUUCGGGAUAAGCCCUGGAAACGGGGUCUAAUACCGGAUAUGAGUGCCUGACGCAUGUCGGGUGCUGGAAAGUUUUUCGGUGGGGGAUGGGCUCGCGGCCUAUCAGCUUGUUGGUGGGGUAGUGGCCUACCAAGGCGUCGACGGGUAGCCGGCCUGAGAGGGCGACCGGCCACACUGGGACUGAGACACGGCCCAGACUCCUACGGGAGGCAGCAGUGGGGAAUAUUGCACAAUGGGCGAAAGCCUGAUGCAGCGACGCCGCGUGAGGGAUGACGGCUUCGGGUUGUAAACCUCUUUCAGCAGGGAAGAAGGCUUCGGGUGGACGGUACCUGCAGAAGAAGCGCCGGCUAACUACGUGCCAGCAGCCGCGGUAAUACGUAGGGCGCAAGCGUUGUCCGGAAUUAUUGGGCGUAAAGAGCUCGUAGGCGGUUUGUCGCGUCUGGUGUGAAAACCUCAGGCUCAACCUGGGGCGUGCAUCGGGUACGGGCAGACUAGAGUGCGGUAGGGGAGACUGGAAUUCCUGGUGUAGCGGUGGAAUGCGCAGAUAUCAGGAGGAACACCGAUGGCGAAGGCAGGUCUCUGGGCCGCAACUGACGCUGAGGAGCGAAAGCAUGGGGAGCGAACAGGAUUAGAUACCCUGGUAGUCCAUGCCGUAAACGUUGGGCACUAGGUGUGGGGCUCAUUCCACGAGUUCCGUGCCG
RNAcentral lists this ribosomal RNA (750 nucleotides) under bacterium N50V. Its description in RNAcentral is "bacterial SSU rRNA". It matches the Rfam family "Bacterial small subunit ribosomal RNA", at positions 87 to 848 of the family's 1533-position model. The record is from RNAcentral.